UUUUAUGUCUACAGCAGAGAUGACAUCUCCUGUGGCAUGACUGGAAAGCCCAGACAUGACCGGGGGCACUGGGGCACCCAAAGCCCUUGCUCAGGUCUUUCGAAGGUGAUAAAGUGCCCGGGAGCUGCUGGAAACCAUUCUCCAAUAAAUUCAAAGGGAAAAGUCAUUUUUUUGUGCCUUGGAAGCUUGUGAGAGCUGAGGGAUGCUGGAAGGCAGUGAAAACUGAGGCAGUGCAUCGCACACUAGUGUGGCAGGAAGCCACCGGAGCAAAUUUUCUGGGCUGUCAUUCAGAAGCUCAUCAUAGAGCAGUGAACACAUUCCUUGUGGGAGCUCAGCAUCAGAAGAAGUUGCAAGUCCCUUCUCAGGAGGAAAGACAAGCACAAGCUGAAACAUCCAAGCUGCAGUCAGUGGCAGAACACCACUCCAGGAAGGAUCAUGCCUCAUCAGCGGGUGUUGGCUUUCUAAGGCACCUCAAGUACCCUGCCAGGGUAAUUAGUAGUGAUCUGAAUCAGACAUCACUAUGUACAUGUCUGUCUACAAUGGUGACAUGUAUCCUCAUACAUCUGCAGCCAACAGCAUUUUUGAGGUGGAUACACUCCCUAGCCUGCAGUAAUCCCCUGCCUUGUGCUUGUUGUCACUCUGCACAGGAGUGUUUGUCCCAGAUAGAUCCUUGCAUUGUCUCCAUGUUGCUCUGGGAUUCCAAGCUAGCUGGGAGUAUCACUGAAAAUUGAAGGACAAAGUUGGAGGGAAAUGUGUUUAGUUUAGCUGGGACAAGUCAGGAAUUGCAUCUACCAAAGAAAAGAGCAGAUUUUGAUUCCACUGUGUUUAUAUUUAUUUUGAAGGAAAAAAAAUGGGCAGUUUAUUUGUUGCAAUGUGCUUAUUUCACUCUCAGCUCCAGUAGCUAGGUAAACACUUCCCAGUAAUUUCCCAUAAGAAAAAGCUAGAAAAUCAGGGAAAGAGUGUUGUUCUUUCACCAGAAACAUUAAUAACAUGCAGUAUGGACCUUGCCUUUUCUCUGACUACUUCAUAAAAAGCUGUGGCAUAGGUGUAGCAACAGUUGACCAGGUCCAGACACUGCCUCUCACUCAGAGCGGCCAGGCUGCAGUCAUGUCUCAGUUAAUUUUAUUUUAUUAAUUUGUUUUUUAAUUAUUUUCUUUCAUAAAAGGCUUGUAAUAUGUGAUGGAAAGAGCAGGGAAAUUCACCACUUUUGUACAUCUUUCCUGCAGGAACGGGCCACAAGGGGUGUGGGUGCCCCUUGUGCCUUUGCAGUGCCAGCCAAGGACAGUCCACAGGACUCCUGAGGCCCAUAGGAGGAUGCACAUAAGAAAGGCAGAGCCCGACCAGCCUGGCAGGAGACAGAGGGAAAGGGUAGGAGCUGUCCUUUCCUAGAAGGGAGCUGUGGAGACUCAGGCCCCAUGGAGCCAGCAGCUGGGGCAGGAUGAGAGGUGUGGGUGAGAAGGAGGGAGAUGCAGACCGGCAGUACCUGUUUGUGCUACUUCACUGUGACUGCUCGUGCAACUCUUCAGACCUACCUUUGUGUUUCAUUUUUUAAUCAUCCUCCAAGAUCUCAAGUAAACUUGCUUGUCUCACCCUAGCUAGGGCCAGCCCUUCCAUAUAUGCCCUCUGUACCAGCCAUACUCUGUCUCCUUCCCCAGAAAGCUCCUUUCCCUCUGCCAGCCUGUGAUGGCUGUCCACACCAGAAGUGCACACUGAUUCCAUCAGGCUGCCUUUCCCCACUUCAGCCACAUCAAAUGAAAUGUGGGCACAUAGUGGUGUGAUUUAGUUCAGCCUCCAAUAUUGUCACACUUCCAGGAUUACUGUGGCUUUCAUGGUGCUCCCAGGAGGUGCAUGAACAAGUGCAAGGUGUCCUGAAGAACUUCCCAAGCUUUGGACUGUUGAAUGGUCUGCUAAAAAGUGGAAUAUGACAAUCCCACCCUUGGGAGGGAUGGGAUCACAUUCUCUGUUGCUUGUUCCCAGGAUGGAUUGUGUUUGCCUGCAGUGCUGGUAGACCAGAUUUAUUCAUGUACCUUCUGUCUUGUGUUUCAUUUGCUUUGGCAACUCCCUAGCUCCUGGUCAUGGUGGGACACCACUGUGUGCCCAGCCACCUGCAUGACUGCCAGGACAGUGAUAGCCCACCUUAUCUCUUGAGGGUAGCUCAGAUUACAGGCAAAGAAGAAAUAUUGUCUGCUCCAUUUGGUCUCCAGUUCAACCCUUACAUGUGACAUGUUACUUGCUAGGUACUCCCACAUGACUCGUGACCACAAAAAUAAUAAAAA
Long non-coding RNA from Poecile atricapillus (Black-capped chickadee), 2276 nucleotides. RefSeq lists it as uncharacterized. The record is from RefSeq and is a predicted model, not a curated record. The transcript is spliced from 3 exons. NCBI's taxonomy places the organism in Eukaryota, Metazoa, Chordata, Aves, Passeriformes, Paridae.